AGGGUUACCAUUGGACCAAUGAACUUAGGU
This 30-nucleotide non-coding RNA is filed under the name Rattus norvegicus (Norway rat). Lineage: Eukaryota; Metazoa; Chordata; Mammalia; Rodentia; Muridae. The record is from RNAcentral.